RNAcentral lists this ribosomal RNA (645 nucleotides) under Limosilactobacillus fermentum. RNAcentral describes it as "bacterial SSU rRNA". It matches the Rfam family "Bacterial small subunit ribosomal RNA", at positions 64 to 678 of the family's 1533-position model. Lineage: Bacteria; Bacillati; Bacillota; Bacilli; Lactobacillales; Lactobacillaceae. The record is from RNAcentral.
GAACGCUUUUUUCAAUCAUCGUAGCUUGCUACACCGAUUGAAAAUUGAGUGGCGAACGGGUGAGUAACACGUGGGUAACCUGCCCAAAAGAGGGGGAUAACACUUGGAAACAGGUGCUAAUACCGCAUAACCAUGAUGACCGCAUGGUCAUUAUGUAAAAGAUGGUUUCGGCUAUCACUUUUGGAUGGACCCGCGGCGUAUUAACUUGUUGGUGGGGUAACGGCCUACCAAGGUAAUGAUACGUAGCCGAACUGAGAGGUUGAUCGGCCACAUUGGGACUGAGACACGGCCCAAACUCCUACGGGAGGCAGCAGUAGGGAAUCUUCCACAAUGGGCGCAAGCCUGAUGGAGCAACGCCGCGUGAGUGAAGAAGGUCUUCGGAUCGUAAAACUCUGUUGUUAGAGAAGAACAUGCAAGAGAGUAACUGUUCUUGUAUUGACGGUAUCUAACCAGAAAGCCACGGCUAACUACGUGCCAGCAGCCGCGGUAAUACGUAGGUGGCAAGCGUUGUCCGGAUUUAUUGGGCGUAAAGGGAACGCAGGCGGUCCUUUAAGUCUGAUGUGAAAGCCUUCGGCUUAACCGAAGAAUUGCAUUGGAAACUGGAGGACUUGAGUGCAGAAGAGGAGAGUGGAACUCCAUGUGUAG